AAAUGCGAUAAGUAAUGUGAAUUGCAGAAUUCAGUGAAUCAUCGAAUCUUUGAACGCACAUUGCGCCCGCCAGUAUUCUGGCGGGCAUGCCUGUUCGAGCGUCAUUACAACCCUCAGGCCCCCGGGCCUGGCGUUGGGGAUCGGCGGAAGCCCCCUGCGGGCACAACGCCGUCCCCCAAAUACAGUGGCGGUCCCGCCGCAGCUUCCAUUGCGUAGUAGCUAACACCUCGCAACUGGAGAGCGGCGCGGCCACGCCGUAAAACACCCAACUUCUGAAUGUUGACCUCGAAUCAGGUAGGUAUACCCGCUGAACUUAAGC
This 319-nucleotide unclassified non-coding RNA is filed under the name plant metagenome. RNAcentral describes it as "partial contains 5.8S ribosomal RNA, internal transcribed spacer 2, and large subunit ribosomal RNA". The stretch from base 1 to 104 matches the Rfam family "5.8S ribosomal RNA", at positions 51 to 154 of the family's 154-position model. The record is from RNAcentral.